UACAGGGAGUAGUUUAAGUAGAAUU
RNAcentral lists this transfer RNA (25 nucleotides) under Trichechus inunguis (Amazon manatee). RNAcentral describes it as "partial tRNA-Pro". The record is from RNAcentral. Lineage: Eukaryota; Metazoa; Chordata; Mammalia; Sirenia; Trichechidae. RNAcentral also lists the same sequence under 1 other name.